AGCGGGCUGGGCGAUCGCGGCGCUCGCUCCUUCGCAUGAAGGGGUGUGGAGUGGUGAGGAAAGUCCGGGCUCCGCAGGGUAGGAUGCCGGCUAACGGCCGGGCGGGGUGACCCGACGGACAGUGUCACAGAAAAGAAGACUCCCCGUGCGUGGCGCGGAGAAAAGCUGAAACGGUGUGGUAAGAGCGCACCAGCGUCGCGGCGACGCGGCGGCUUGACAAACCCCAUCCGGAGCAAGGGCAAAUAGGGAUGCCAUGAGCUGACCCGGCUCGCAUCCGGGUUGCCUGCUCGAGGGCGUCGGCAACGGCGCCUCUAGAUAAAUGAUCGUCUUAGAUGACAGAACCCGGCUUACAGGCCCGCUUU
Molecule: RNase P RNA, 362 nt
Filed under: human gut metagenome
Description: Bacterial RNase P class A
Rfam family: Bacterial RNase P class A
About the family: Ribonuclease P (RNase P) is a ubiquitous endoribonuclease, found in archaea, bacteria and eukarya as well as chloroplasts and mitochondria. Its best characterised activity is the generation of mature 5'-ends of tRNAs by cleaving the 5'-leader elements of precursor-tRNAs.
Source: RNAcentral